Molecule: ribosomal RNA, 36 nt
Filed under: Candida albicans
Lineage: Eukaryota; Fungi; Ascomycota; Pichiomycetes; Serinales; Debaryomycetaceae
Description: partial 18S ribosomal RNA
Source: RNAcentral
CCUUCUUCCGUAGGUGAACCUGCGGAAGGAUCAUUA